RNAcentral lists this ribosomal RNA (252 nucleotides) under uncultured bacterium. Its description in RNAcentral is "partial 16S ribosomal RNA". It matches the Rfam family "Bacterial small subunit ribosomal RNA", at positions 524 to 775 of the family's 1533-position model. The record is from RNAcentral.
UACGUAGGGGGCGAGCGUUAUCCGGAGUUACUGGGCGUAAAGCGCACGCAGGCGGUGCUGCAAGUCUGGGGUUACAGCUCCCGGCUCAACUGGGAGAGCGCCUUGAAGACUGCAGGACUUGAGGGCCAAAGAGGGACACAGAAUUCCGGGUGUAGUGGUGAAAUGCGUAGAUAUCCGGAGGAAUACCAAAGGCGAAGGCAGUGUCCUGGGUGGUACCUGACGCUCAGGUGCGAAAGCUAGGGGAGCGAACGG